RNAcentral lists this ribosomal RNA (305 nucleotides) under uncultured bacterium. RNAcentral's name for it is "partial 16S ribosomal RNA". It matches the Rfam family "Bacterial small subunit ribosomal RNA", at positions 505 to 809 of the family's 1533-position model. The record is from RNAcentral.
ACAGCAGUAGCCACGGUAAUACGUAGGGUGCAAGCGUUAAUCGGAAUUACUGGGCGUAAAGCGUGCGCAGGCGGUUAUAUAAGACAGAUGUGAAAUCCCCGGGCUCAACCUGGGAACUGCAUUUGUGACUGUAUAGCUAGAGUACGGCAGAGGGGGAUGGAAUUCCGCGUGUAGCAGUGAAAUGCGUAGAUAUGCGGAGGAACACCGAUGGCGAAGGCAAUCCCCUGGGCCUGUACUGACGCUCAUGCACGAAAGCGUGGGGAGCAAACAGGAUCAGAUACCCGGGUAGUCCCUGUCUCUUAUAA